AUGGAACGGAAGGAGGUCAUGGACCUCGGCAGCGGCGAGCCCAAGGAGAUCAUGGACCUCAUCAGCGGCAAGCCGAUGGAGACCAUAGGCCUCGGCAGCGGCGAGCUCGAGGACUAUCCCUUCGUGAGGCGGCUCCGCAACCGGCGGCUCCUCGUCUACCUCUGGCUCCAGGGCUUCGACGCUGCUUACGAUAGGCUGCAUUUGCGGCAGCUGGUGGUCUGGGGCCGGUGGAGCGAAGCCCUCGACUACAUAAGUCGCUUCCUGCCGCCGGUGCUCAACGACUGGAGCCUCGAUGCCCGUUCCCUCCUCUUCUUCCUCCACACGCUCUGGGCUCUGGCCAACGUCGCCGCGUGCUCGACGGGCGGCCUUGUGAACGACUCUGUGCACAGCGACCUCAGCUUCCUGGGGACACUUUCCAGUACCAACGCCAAGCUCUCCUCCAUCCUACGAUACACACUCCACUCGCCGCAGUUCAGGGAGUCUCUGGACUGGAUGCUGGUGAGGAAGAAGGCAUCGUUGAUUGUCGAUGACUGGGCUCUUGAGACUCCGGAAUUGAGGCGCAAGAUGCAAUUGCCCGGUGGUCCAGGUCUCCCGCGGGACUUGCUUCCCAUCGGCCCCCUUUGCCCAAGGCGUCACCGGAGGGAACAAUCCCGGCGGGCAAAAGCAUCUACGAUUGCCAAGUCUUAUCUCAACAGGAAGAGGAGUCUGCCGCCUACAAGCCCACAUCCUGCAGGAUUGCCCAAAGAUGCACUCAGACGGGUGGCAGAUCUUAUUGAGGGAUGUUUAAGAGCUGGUAAACUUCUGGAGCUCCAUCAAGGGUGCCCGCUUCAAUCAAAUGCAAAGGGAGGUGCUUCUGAUACUCCACUUCUGCAGACCAUGUUUGGUACCGUAACAAAUCCUGCUAAAAACACUGGGACCUCAUCAGUGACAAAUGCAGGUGCUGCCGUCUCACGGCCUAUUAAAAUCCCUUGGAUCACAUCUCCCACAAAUGCAGGCCCAAUCAAGCAUUCUAGAAAAGAUGGGUGCUAUAGCAACAGUGCUGGUCAGGGUUCUGUUGGAAGAAAAAAAAGAGAAGAUUUGAUGACUGAGGAAGAUGAUCCUGAUAGAAAAAGGCAACGGACUGAACUGGAGUUGCUGACUGAAGUGGAAGCUGGAUCUUGCGGCCAGUUGCUGACUGAAGUGGAAGCUGGAUCUUGCGGCGCCAACUUGAUGGCCAACUGA
This 1221-nucleotide ribosomal RNA is filed under the name Triticum aestivum (bread wheat). RNAcentral describes it as "partial small subunit ribosomal RNA". Lineage: Eukaryota; Viridiplantae; Streptophyta; Magnoliopsida; Poales; Poaceae. The record is from RNAcentral.